Molecule: ribosomal RNA, 433 nt
Filed under: uncultured bacterium
Lineage: Bacteria
Description: partial 16S ribosomal RNA
Rfam family: Bacterial small subunit ribosomal RNA
Source: RNAcentral
AACGAACGCUGGCGGCAUGCCUAACACAUGCAAGUCGCACGAGACCUUCGGGUCUAGUGGCGCACGGGUGCGUAAGGCGUAGGAACCUGCCUUUAGUUUCGGAAUAAACCAGAGCACUUUGACCUUAUUCAUGAUGCUUUCUUCGGGCCAAAGAUUUAUCGCCGUUAGAUGGUCCCGCGUUGGAUUAGCUAGUUGGUGGGGUAAAGGCCUACCAAGGCGCCGAUACAUAGCUGGUCUGCGAGGAUGAUCAGCGACACUGGGACUGAGACACGGCCCAGACUCCUACGGGAGGCAGCAGUGGGGAAUAUUGGACAAUGGGCGAAAGCCUGAUCCAGCAAUGCCGCGUGAGUGAUGAAGGCCUUAGGGUUGUAAAGCGCUUUUACCCGAGAUGAUAAUGACAGUACCGGGAGAAUAAGCUCCGGCUAACUCCGUG